Mauremys mutica (yellowpond turtle) is the source of this 684-nucleotide long non-coding RNA. RefSeq lists it as uncharacterized. The transcript is spliced from 4 exons. The record is from RefSeq and is a predicted model, not a curated record. Lineage: Eukaryota; Metazoa; Chordata; Testudines; Geoemydidae.
ACAGGAAUCAAUAUAUGAGUGGAUGGUGGUGCACAGUUGAGGCCACCAGAAGGAGCAGGUGGCCAGAGAGUUUUGAGGUGACCUAGAUGGCCCACUAAUGUGCCACCCAAUUAGGACCAGUAGAAGACUAAGCAAAAACCUGCUUUUCUGUCAAGUUUAAUGCUAGCUCUGUCACUUGUGAAAGCUACAGUAUUCUGCUAGUCAAAUUUUGAGGCCCUGGGAAUGUUCCAGAUGGAAGAAGAAACUGAUGGAAUCUGAAGUUGGACCAAUAAAAGAUAUCACCUCACCCACAGUGUCUUUCUAAUUUCCUGGGACCAACCUGGUUACUACUACAAACGUGCAGCAAACCCUCCUCACCAAACUAGCAGCCAGCAAAAACUCCAAAGCAUCUUUCGGAAAUAUCAGGAGAACUAGAUUGUUGGAGCAGAAACCCAGCACAUGGCUGAUUUAGAUACCUUAAGGUCUACAAAUCUGCGAAUACCAAAAAUGUGGACUUUAGAAAUGCAGCACUAGACAUUCUAGAACUCUACUUCUGAUACAGAAGAAUGCAGCUUCUCAUCUGGAAAUGACACAUUAAGCACAUGUAAAAUGAGUGUGAUUGAAUGAAGAAAGAGAUCUCCUGUCAGGAUCAAUGGCAAGAGAGAACCAUUCUCCAGAGUUGCAUCUCUAAAUUAGAUGUGAUCC